UCGUGAUCAUCAUCAAUCAAAAACAGAUCAUUAGAUUUUUCAUUUGAUUGAAGUUUCUGAUCUGCAAAUGUUUCGUCCAAGGGGGAUAGACCAGUAGACUCUUUCCCGGUGCAGUCAGGCCCUGCAUUAAUUUCUGGGAAAAGGGCAGGUUUGCUGCUUUCAGUAGCACAAACAUGGGGGCAAACUGGAGAGCUCCUAUUGAGACACUUAUGGCACUUAAACCCGAUGAGCUUUUCAACUUUAACAGCAUUGAGAUCAAAAGCAUCUCCAUGAAACCAAUCUGUAGAUUGUGAAAAACAUAAUUUAAUAGUAAACUAGUUAUACUCAAUAAAUUUGAAUGACUCUUCCCUGAGCUGGUUGUGCCAAAUGUGAGACAUGCAUACAGAACUUCUAUUAAAAAACGAAACCAUCAUCUAUCAAGAAUUUUAAGGGUAUUCUCAUACAGGCAAGGACUAAAAACUAUUUUUCUCAGCCAGCAGUUAAUUCAAGAUGGAGGAAAUAUUCAUCUUCCGCAGCGUAUGUGUUUUCAUUUAGUAGUGGUAGAGAUGAAUCAAGUGUAAAGAUAGUUACCUCCACAAAUUUCACAAGAGACAUAAUUAAGAUGAGAUUUGAAUUCUAGUUCACCACAGAGACUGCAUUUCGGAGUACAUGCGACGGAAGGCGACUCUCCAGAAAGGACAAGAAGCAAUUUACUUCUAAAAAGCAUCACCCUUUCAUCGUUUAGCCUUCUUGACAAUCGAAGGCCAUUCAACCAGUAACCAUAACUGAUCUGGGUUCUCUUCUUCUGCCAACAACUAUUUUUUGGCUUCUUCAGUUUGUCUUGCUUCUUCAAUCUUUCUUUUUUUGAUUUAGCUUGUUUCCGUUUCUUCUGUUUUUUCUCAGUACAGAUCUCACGUGCAGACUGCAUUCAUUUUCAAGCACAAUUUUUCAUCAAAAGCUGGUGGCAAGAGUUGAACCAUGGUCUUUUGCCAUGCUCUGAUACUAUUUUGAACCAUCUAAUCUAAAAACUUAAACUGUUAAAGAAAGACUAAAUGUAUUCAUUUAAAUCAUUUUCUCUUCAGCACCAGAUAUGGCAAUAAUGACUCAUCAAAAUAAGCAUGAGUAUAUUUGAAGAAGAAUAGGAGCAACAAAUUAAUUCUUUGCUCACUCUAAAUUGAAGUGAAUCAUUUGAAUGAAGCUUUUAAAUGUACCCAGCAGACCUCCUUGCAUGUCUUUUAUGGAAAAAGCCUGAAAAUCCAUACAAGUAUAGUUGAUAUUUGUUAGUGCCUUUUAGAAGUUACUAUAUCCACUAUCUCAAAUUAAAAACUAGUUCAAUCCACAAAGAUACAAAUUCAUCUGUAACCCUGAUUUAUAUCCUUAGUUUACUAUUUCCUGAUAUCUAUUUUCUCUCCCAUCAUAAAUGGCAUCACCUGAAUACCAAAAAUUGUUUAUGGGGACAACUAGGAUAAGUCGGAAAGAGUUCUACUGACUACAGAUUACAGAAGGGUACUGUUGUUUAUCAAACCAUUCUUCAAAUGGUCAUGCAUCAAUGAUGCAAACUUGGCUUCUUCCCAUGGUCAGCUUCCAGCAAGGUCUUCUGUUGGUACCAAUUCAUCAGUGGGCCUUCCUUCCUCGCCGAAGUUAACACCUGCUGUUUUCCCCUCUGAAGUAAUAGUUGAAAGUCCUAUUUUUUGUUCACUUGCCUGAAUCUGGUUUGAAUGUAGAAUUGACACUGAUGAAUACUUCUCGUGAUCAUCAUCAAUCAAAAACAGAUCAUUAGAUUUUUCAUUUGAUUGAAGUUUCUGAUCUGCAAAUGUUUCGUCCAAGGGGGAUAGACCAGUAGACUCUUUCCCGGUGCAGUCAGGCCCUGCAUUAAUUUCUGGGAAAAGGGCAGGUUUGCUGCUUUCAGUAGCACAAACAUGGGGGCAAACUGGAGAGCUCCUAUUGAGACACUUAUGGCACUUAAACCCGAUGAGCUUUUCAACUUUAACAGCUUUGAGAUCAAAAGCAUCUCCAUGAAACCAAUCUGCAGAUUGUGAAAAACAUAAUUUAAUAGUAAACUAGUUAUACUCAAUAAAUUUGAAUGACUCUUCCCUGAGCUGGUUGUGCCAAAUGUGAGUCAUGCAUACAGAACUUCUAUUAAAAAACGAAACCAUCAUCUAUCAAGAAUUUUAAGGGUAUUCUUUUACAGGCAAGGACUAAAAACUAUUUUUCUCAGCCAGCAGUUAAUUCAAGAUGGAGGAAAUAUUCAUCUUCCGCAGCGUAUGUGUUUUCAUUUAGUAGUGGUAGAGAUGAAUCAAGUGUAAAG
RNAcentral lists this long non-coding RNA (2287 nucleotides) under Olea europaea (common olive). Its description in RNAcentral is "long non-coding RNA (OEUR_LNC004173)". Lineage: Eukaryota; Viridiplantae; Streptophyta; Magnoliopsida; Lamiales; Oleaceae. The record is from RNAcentral.